UGCCCGAUCUUUGUUUCUUUCUCAGUCAGCGCAACUGCUUCUUCCUUGGGGAUAAACGAGGUGAAACACAGCUGAAAAUGAGCCCAAUAACCACGUUGUUGUUGUUGGCACUUGUCUGUGGCUCCAUACAAUAUGUGACUGGAAAUCUCUGUCGUGGAGAAAGGUGUGAUGUCGACUUCAAAACAAUAGGAUGCUACAAAGACACGGUAUGAACAUUACACGUGAAUGCUUGUUACAUGACAAUAUGUACGUUUUCAGCUUAAAUAAUUAAAUUUAUACAAAGCUUUGCAGAAAAAUUUCAAAAGACACAAGGUUGGGCUGUAACGAGAUAAAAGAUCUAUACACCGAAUGCAAAUAUGGCGGACCGCUCGGUUGGCGCCCGG
Long non-coding RNA from Orbicella faveolata, 383 nucleotides. NCBI's taxonomy places the organism in Eukaryota, Metazoa, Cnidaria, Anthozoa, Scleractinia, Merulinidae. The record is from RefSeq and is a predicted model, not a curated record.